This 481-nucleotide ribosomal RNA is filed under the name uncultured bacterium. RNAcentral's name for it is "bacterial SSU rRNA". It matches the Rfam family "Bacterial small subunit ribosomal RNA", at positions 29 to 507 of the family's 1533-position model. The record is from RNAcentral.
AUUGAACGCUGGCGGCAUGCUUUACACAUGCAAGUCGAACGGUAACAGGCCUUCGGGUGCUGACGAGUGGCGAACGGGUGAGUAAUGCAUCGGAACGUGCCCAAUCGUGGGGGAUAACGUAGCGAAAGUUACGCUAAUACCGCAUAAGCCCUGAGGGGGAAAUGGGGGACCGCAAGGCCUCACGCGAAUGGAGCGGCCGAUGUCAGAUUAGCUAGUUGGUGGGGUAAAGGCCCACCAAGGCGACGAUCUGUAGCGGGUCUGAGAGGAUGAUCCGCCACACUGGGACUGAGACACGGCCCAGACUCCUACGGGAGGCAGCAGUGGGGAACUUUGGACAAUGGGCGCAAGCCUGAUCCAGCCAUGCCGCGUGCGGGACGAAGGCCUUCGGGUUGUAAACCGCUUUCAGCCGGAAAGAAAUCGCCGUUUUUAAUACAGACGGUGGAUGACGGUACCGGAAGAAGAAGCACCGGCUAACUACGUG